GACGAACGCUGGCGGCGUGCCUAAUACAUGCAAGUCGAGCGGACGAAUCGAAAGCUUGCUUUUGAUUCGUUAGCGGCGGACGGGUGAGUAACACGUGGGCAACCUGCCCUGUAGACGGGGAUAACACCGAGAAAUCGGUGCUAAUACCGGAUAACACGAAAUGUCGCAUGACGUUUCGUUGAAAGACGGCGCAAGCUGUCGCUACAGGAUGGGCCCGCGGCGCAUUAGCUAGUUGGUGAGGUAACGGCUCACCAAGGCGACGAUGCGUAGCCGACCUGAGAGGGUGAUCGUCCACACUGGGACUGAGACACGGCCCAGACUCCUACGGGAGGCAGCAGUAGGGAAUCUUCCGCAAUGGACGAAAGUCUGACGGAGCAACGCCGCGUGAGCGAAGAAGGCCUUCGGGUCGUAAAGCUCUGUUGUUAGGGAAGAACAAGUAACGCAGUAACUGGCGUUACCGUGACGGUACCUAACGAGAAAGCCACGGCUAACUACGUG
Molecule: ribosomal RNA, 498 nt
Filed under: uncultured bacterium
Lineage: Bacteria
Description: partial 16S ribosomal RNA
Rfam family: Bacterial small subunit ribosomal RNA
Source: RNAcentral